ACAAUGGGGGCAACCCUGAUCCAGCCAUGCCGCGUGUGUGAAGAAGGCCUUCGGGUUGUAAAGCACUUUCGGACGGAACGAAAUCGCGCGGGUGAACAUCCCGCGUGGAUGACGGUACCGUAAGAAGAAGCACCGGCUAACUACGUGCCAGCAGCCGCGGUAAUACGUAGGGUGCGAGCGUUAAUCGGAAUUACUGGGCAUAAAGCGCGCGUAGGUGGUCGUGUAAGCGGGAGAUGAAAGCCCAUGGCUCACCCAUGGAACUGUCCCCCGGACUGCACGGCUCGAGGAAGGAAGGGGAGAAUGGAAUUCCCGGUGUAGCGGUGAAAUGCGUAGAUAUCGGGAGGAACGCCGGUGGCGAAAGCGAUUCUCUGGUCCUCUCCUGACACUGAUGCGCGAGAGCUAGGGGAGCAAACAGGAUUAGAUACCCUGGUAGUCCUAGCUGUAAACGAUGGGCACUAGGUAGAGGGGGUGUCGAUACCCUCUCUGUCGUAGCAAAUGUGUUAAGUGCCCCGCCUGGGGAGUACGGUCGCAAGGCUGAAACUUAAAGGAAUUGACGGACUCCUACGGGAGGCAGCAGAAACUUAAAGGAAUUGACG
This 596-nucleotide ribosomal RNA is filed under the name uncultured Pseudomonadota bacterium. RNAcentral's name for it is "bacterial SSU rRNA". It matches the Rfam family "Bacterial small subunit ribosomal RNA", at positions 368 to 961 of the family's 1533-position model. Lineage: Bacteria; Pseudomonadati; Pseudomonadota. The record is from RNAcentral.